AACGAACGCUGGCGGCAUGCCUAACACAUGCAAGUCGAACGAGACCUUCGGGUCUAGUGGCGCACGGGUGCGUAACGCGUGGGAACCUGCCCUUAGGUUCGGAAUAACUCCCCGAAAGGGGUGCUAAUACCGGAUAAUGUCUUCGGACCAAAGAUUUAUCGCCUUUGGAUGGGCCCGCGUUGGAUUAGCUAGUUGGUAGGGUAAAAGCCUACCAAGGCGACGAUCCAUAGCUGGUCUGAGAGGAUGAUCAGCCACACUGGGACUGAGACACGGCCCAGACUCCUACGGGAUGCAGCAGUGGGGAAUAUUGGACAAUGGGCGAAAGCCUGAUCCAGCAAGGCCGCGUGAGUGAUGAAGGCCUGAGGGUUGUAAAGCUCUUUUACCCGGGAUGAUAAUGACAGUACCGGGAGAAUAAGCGCCGGCUAACUCCGUG
This 433-nucleotide ribosomal RNA is filed under the name uncultured bacterium. RNAcentral's name for it is "partial 16S ribosomal RNA". It matches the Rfam family "Bacterial small subunit ribosomal RNA", at positions 29 to 507 of the family's 1533-position model. The record is from RNAcentral.